AUUGAACGCUGGCGGCAUGCUUUACACAUGCAAGUCGAACGGCAGCGCGGGCUUCGGCCUGGCGGCGAGUGGCGAACGGGUGAGUAAUGCAUCGGAACGUGCCCAGCAGUGGGGGAUAGCCCGGCGAAAGCCGGAUUAAUACCGCAUACGAGCUGAGGGUGAAAGCGGGGGAGCGAAAGACCUCGCGCUCUUGGGGCGGCCGAUGUCGGAUUAGCUAGUUGGUGGGGUAAAGGCUUACCAAGGCGACGAUCCGUAGCUGGUCUGAGAGGACGACCAGCCACACUGGGACUGAGACACGGUCCAGACUCCUACGGGAGGCAGCAGUGGGGAAUUUUGGACAAUGGGGGCAACCCUGAUCCAGCCAUGCCGCGUGCGGGAAGAAGGCCUUCGGGUUGUAAAGCGCUUUUGUCCGGGAAGAAAUCCUCUGGGCUAAUACCCCGGGGGGAUGACGGUACCGGAAGAAUAAGCACCGGCUAACUACGUG
RNAcentral lists this ribosomal RNA (484 nucleotides) under uncultured bacterium. RNAcentral describes it as "partial 16S ribosomal RNA". It matches the Rfam family "Bacterial small subunit ribosomal RNA", at positions 28 to 507 of the family's 1533-position model. The record is from RNAcentral.